RNAcentral lists this transfer RNA (73 nucleotides) under Canis lupus familiaris (dog). It matches the Rfam family "tRNA". From Rfam's summary of the family: Transfer RNA (tRNA) molecules are approximately 80 nucleotides in length. Lineage: Eukaryota; Metazoa; Chordata; Mammalia; Carnivora; Canidae. RNAcentral also lists the same sequence under 1 other name. The record is from Rfam by way of RNAcentral.
AUCUGGCUAGCUCAGUCAAAAGAGCAUGAGACUCUUGAUCUUGGGGUCAUGAGUCUGAGCCCCAUGCUGGGUA